UUACAUACCUGGACGGGGUCUAUGGGUGAUCAGGUAGGCUCAUGGCCUAGGUGGAUGACCUUCAUUGCACAUUGAGAGGUGCAUUUGCCUAACAUCUCCCUUGUGGAGACUGUACGUCAAAAUUUAUGGCAGUGGGGACUGUAUGAAUGCGGUCCCUGC
Molecule: small nuclear RNA, 159 nt
Organism: Gastrolobium bilobum
Lineage: Eukaryota; Viridiplantae; Streptophyta; Magnoliopsida; Fabales; Fabaceae
Product: U1 spliceosomal RNA
Exons: 1
Source: RefSeq, a predicted model, not a curated record